UUUAAGUGUAACCAUAAGUUUCCACGUACAACUUUUAUCAUCCGUCUUAUUUGAAAAAUUUUUAUAAUUAAUAUUUUUGUUGUUAUGAGAUGAUAAAACAUAAAUAGUACUUUACUCGUGACUUAUAUUUUUAAUUUUUUUAUUUUUUUUAAAUAAGACGAAUGGUUAAAGUUGGACGCGGAAAACCAUGGCUGCACUUAAA
MicroRNA precursor from Oryza rufipogon (brownbeard rice), 202 nucleotides. It matches the Rfam family "MIR812 microRNA precursor family". The record is from Rfam. NCBI's taxonomy places the organism in Eukaryota, Viridiplantae, Streptophyta, Magnoliopsida, Poales, Poaceae.